RNA transcript from Panicum virgatum (switchgrass), 2979 nucleotides. RefSeq lists it as uncharacterized. The record is from RefSeq and is a predicted model, not a curated record. Lineage: Eukaryota; Viridiplantae; Streptophyta; Magnoliopsida; Poales; Poaceae. The transcript is spliced from 6 exons.
AAAAAAAUUUCCCGAGCCGCCCUCACAGCCUCACCUCUCGACUCGUCUCCUCUCGGCGACCGCGAGGCGGAGGCGACGCGCGACAGGCGAGGCGGAGGCGAGCCGAGCCAGGGACUCCGUCCCGCGACCCUGCCGGCCGUCGAGCGUAGGUCGCCGGCCGCCGGUUCGCCGGCCGUCGCCCCGCCCCUAGGCCGACCCUGCUUCCCUGUGCGGCUGUGUUGCGCAGCUUCCCGCGAACCGCCACCGCAGCCGCUCCUCGCCGGCUCGCUCCCCGACCUCCCGGCUCCCGACGCCCGGCGCUUCCCUGCUUCCCUGUGCGGUUCCCUCCUCCUCCCUGGCUGGUGGCUGGCCCCCUCUCCCAAUUCCCAAAGGAUUUGGCCCUCUCCCACUCCGACCAGGAGGAGGACGAUGAGGAAGAGGGGGUCUCCACCUCUGCCGUCACCAGAUUCGAGCAAGGCUGCAGGGCGUUCCGCGUCGCCUUCCUUAAGAUCAUGAACAAGAAGCUCCCUGACGACCCCUUGGGUCCAAUUCUGUCAGCGCACAAGAAAUUGGUCGCCGCCAAGUUGGCCGAAGAAGCAGGGGAGCACAAGCCCAAAGGGGAGGCUAGAAAGGAGAGGCGAGUGCUAUGGCUCUCACCUCCCUUGCUCAUUGGCUGUGCACUCUCAUUGAAAUUUGCUUUGGUUUGGUGGGAAAAAAGGCAGCAGAGAAGGGCCAUGUCAUACCUAAAGACCACUUGGACAGCAAAGAGAAGGAACUCAUCAAGAUUGCUACCAAGGGGGUUGUCAGGCUGUUCAUUUUCCCCAUGAAUUUUCCGGCUGCUGAUGACUCAGUUGUCAGGCUGUUCAACGCGGUGACCAAGGCACAGAAACCUCGGAAAGACUUGAACCCAUCAAGAACUAAAGAUGCCAAAGGUAUUUUCACCUUCAUGCUAGUAUACUGCAGCCAUUGUUCCUCUGUUGUUUGUGAAUUAUUUUGUUCAUUGUUGUAUUCUACAUCUGCUAAAAAUAUUUUUUGUGUGGACCAUGUACAGAAUUAUGCUUUAGCUAACAUAUUUCUUACCUUCUUAUAGGCCUUUAGUUAUUUUGGUAUAUUAUAGACAUUCUAAUUAAUUCGUUUUGAUUUUAAUUAAUUAAUACUAAUGUCCAACAUGCUAAGUUCCUGCCCAAACACUUACUUGAGGGUGACUAUGAAGAGAGAUGGGGACAUUCUAUCUAUGUUCCAGAAACAUGCUAUUUGUAGGAUUUGCGAUCUGUGUAAUUUGUAGGAUUUGUAGUGUUUCUAUCAUGUAAACACGGCUUGAAGAGGAGCACCAGCUAAUGCAGCGGCGGACACAGCCGAAGCUCGUCGGUGAGCAAGUGCUUGAGCUUGCUCUUGCAGCAGAAGCAGCACAAGCUAGAGGUGCCAUGUUUUCUCCAUCCCCAAGCUCCCAGACUUACGAUCUCUCUGAUUCUUGCACGGCGGCAGCUGCAGCGGUAGCCGCGCAGACGAUGAUGGUGGACUACUGCAAGGAAGUCGACCGCGCAGACCGCGACGACGCGGUGUGCGUAGCGAGAGGUUAUUGGGGGUGCCCAUCGACGACCGAACUCACUAUGUUGCGGGCUUCAGGCCUGACCUCCACGGCGUCGGCAACGGAUGUGGAGGCGGCAACGGGGAGCGGCUAUAGGGCAAUUCAUGAUUGGAGCUCCAUGUCCAAUGCUGCUCCGUGUAUUCUACAUACUCAAUCGAUUUCUGUUUUUUCUUUUAUGUGUUAAUGUUCAUGCAUAUAUGAUGUUCGAUGAAAUAGCUAAAGGCAUCCAACUCGCAUUUUUUACCUCACUUUGAUUGGAUUCCAUUUUCCCAUCAAUCUUUGGCUAGAUUUUCUUGCAAAUUAUAUAUAUUGCUACAAUAGAUGCUCUGUAAUUUACACAAUGUUCAAAUAUUUCUGGCUCCAAAACAACCAAAUAAUUGUACUUUGAAACUUUCUAAUGUCGGAGUUCAUUUGACAGGAAGAAUUGCUAAUUGUGUGCCAAAGUAAUUUGAGCCUCACCAAUUAUUUCUGCAGAUAGCCAUUAUAAGGAAAACAUCUACUGCUGCUACAAUGAUGAUGAACAUCAGAAAGCAAGGAAAGAUUUCUACAGAACAAAACAUGACCCUCUAUUCAAAUUAUUACUCCCCAAUUACAGAACAUCAUCAGUUUCAGAUUCCUGUUAUUUUCUUUGCCUUAUGUUGCAUAUAGCAUAUUGUUUGAUGAUCAUGAACCAGCUACGUUGAGCAUAUAUAUAACGCGUGGCUAAUUUUUCAUUUUAUAUUGACCAUAUAAUGCAUGGUUCAUUUUACAUUGAUCAUGAACUGCCAUUUGUGAUCUAACCCCUGAUAUAUAACUGUUUUUUUCAUUUGCUUUGGUAAAUAAUUACUACCUUGGUUAAAGCAUAAUUUUAAAAACUACUAUCACUCUGUUCUGCUGGCUGCGGCUGGUGCCUGGUGCUGGUUUGUUGUGAGAGAAAAUUACUGCUGGCUGACUGGUGGCUGGUGCUGGUUUGGUGUGAGAGAAAAAUAUUGUUGGUUGGCUGGAGAAGCAGCCAGCAGAACAGAGUGUAUGCAAGCUUUCAAUCAUCUGUAUACGCUAUUUAUUUUAUGUUGAUUACUAUGCUCAAAUUUAUGGUUGAUCCCCUGCAACAAGCAGAUGUUAUUCUGAAGGCACCACUGCUAGGAAAUGGCUGAGGGAACGAGAUUUUUCGAUUUUGUUGUUCUGAAUAGCGGCAAGCUGUGAAAUACGCUGGUUCACUCAACCAAUAUAUUAAAUGUUACUUGAGAAAUCUGCCUGAUACAAUGCUUCUCCUAAAAAAGUAUUUUUGAUGCGUAUCUUCGUCUUUUACUUGUUAAAUACCAUUUCCAUUGCUUAAACGGAUCGUUACCACAUCAACUAUGAUGAAGCAAGGGCGCAAAACAACCAAAAUACACUGGUCUGGUCAUCUCAGUUCUCAGACAAGACAACCAUCU